Molecule: ribosomal RNA, 499 nt
Filed under: uncultured bacterium
Lineage: Bacteria
Description: partial 16S ribosomal RNA
Rfam family: Bacterial small subunit ribosomal RNA
Source: RNAcentral
GACGAACGCUGGCGGCGUGCCUAAUACAUGCAAGUCGAGCGAAGUUUUUCUGGUGCUUGCACUAGAAAAACUUAGCGGCGAACGGGUGAGUAACACGUAAAGAACCUGCCUCAUAGACUGGGACAACUAUUGGAAACGAUAGCUAAUAUCGGAUAACAGCAUUAACUGCAUGGUUGAUGUUUAAAAGUUGGUUUUGCUAACACUAUGAGAUGGCUUUGCGGUGCAUUAGCUAGUUGGUGGGGUAAAGGCCUACCAAGGCGACGAUGCAUAGCCGACCUGAGAGGGUGAUCGGCCACACUGGGACUGAGACACGGCCCAGACUCCUACGGGAGGCAGCAGUAGGGAAUCUUCCGCAAUGGGCGAAAGCCUGACGGAGCAACGCCGCGUGAGUGAAGAAGGAUUUCGGUUCGUAAAGCUCUGUUGUUAGGGAAGAAUGAUUGUGUAGUAACUAUACACAGUAGAGACGGUACCUAACCAGAAAGCCACGGCUAACUACGUG